AUUUCUUGGGCCGCUCCCGCAGCAUAUGGAGGUUCCUAGGCUAGGGGUCGAAUCAGAGCCGUAGCCACCGGCCUACGCCAGAGCCACAGCAACUCGGGAUCCGAGCCACGUCUGCGACCUACACCACAGCUCACGGCAACGCCGGAUCGUUAACCCACUGAGCAAGGCCAGGGAUCAAACCCGCAACCUCAUGGUUCCUAGUCAGAUUCGUUAACCACUGCGCCACGACAGGAACUCCCUCUGAGAACUGAAAGAACAAGUGUUAUGGGGGUGGGGAGAGGGCAGAAGGCCCCGAGGGGAGGGAGGCCUCCACCCAACCCAGCCUGGCCAGAAGGCACCUGUGCCGUAUGGCAGACACAUGGCCAGCUCCUCCAGCAGAGAGAACAAAGAACCCAAGAUGAAGUGUAACCUUCAGUGAAGCAAGAGGGGACACUGCUGCCACUUUCCCGUUUAUUUUUGGCAAAUGUUUAUGCAGCUUAAAAGUCCACCUUCUGUGUCACCUGCUACAGUGACUCCAGCCCUAAGCAGUAAACCCAAAACCCUCAACUCAUUCCCACAGCCUAGCUUCUACCUGGGUCACUAGUGGUCCCAAGUGGCCAUCAGGACACAACAUCAGUGGGAGCUCACUCUGAGGAGACCCAUAGCCCACACUGUCCCAGGACUGCCCACAGCAACAAUCCCCAUACAGCCUGGUGGGUCAACGUUAAAAUUCUUUUGCGGCAGCAGCUUUUCCCCAUUCAUCUUCACUUUCAGUGUGGAGCAAACAGUACGGGGUCAGUAUGUGCUACUGAGUUAAACUGACAUUUCUAUAAAUUAGCUUCAUGAAGUGUAUGAUUCCUAGGGCUGCCUACAAGGCAAAAUGUAGCAAACAAGACAAGUGCUUUCAUUAAAAACUUCUGCAUUCUGACUUUCUGGAAGGCAAGUGUACUGAAAUGGAGUCUCACAGAUUGAGGUCAAAGGCAGAAACAGAAAUCCAGGGAGAAGGUCCAGGCAGAACAGCACGGACCAAGUCACAGAGGAGGGAGAAUCUCAGGAAGGCCACAGGUAGUCCUGUGCUAAAAGUUUCCUCAUAAAGAGAGCUAAUUCUUACUGACUAAAGCUGAGUUCUAAAACCUUAGUUGCCUGAAAACUUAAGAUGCUCCAGAAGUACAUGUGUUUUCUUUCUUUCUUGGAGCUCCACCUGGCUAGGAACUCCUUGGGCCUUCAAAGACCUAGACCGAGAAGACAAGGAGGACAGACUCUCCCUGCAGCAGUCUUAUGACUUGGAUGGGGGCGGGCCGUGCCCAUACACAUGGGGGCAGAGAGAUGGCUGCCAUUCACCCAGAGCCUCCGUGGGUAGAAGACUAGCCUGUAAUCCCACAAAAGAUGGGGAAACCCAAGUCUAGUGGGCCUAGAACCUAGAUCUAACACUCUUUUUCUACUUGGCAUUCUCAAAAGGUGCCCACUGUGGACCACUCUACUGCACAAUCUAAAGGCCUUUUGUUAAUUCAUGUUUAAAUGGUUUUCACCUGGAGAGACAAGCACAUGGUGGGGCCAAAAUGACACUUGCCAGCUGUCCUCAAAUGCCACAAUGGCAGCCUCACCUCAGAGAAUUAAGAUUUGCCCUGUCAGGAAUUCCCGCUAUGGUGCAACGACAUUGGUGGCAUCUUGGGAGCACCAGGUUCAAUCCCUGGCCUGGCACAGUGGGUUAAGGAUCCGGUGUUGCACAACUGUGGCUGGGGUCGCAACUGUGGUUUAGAUCUGAUCCCUGGCUCAACUCCAUAUUCCUUGGGGCAGCAAAAAAUGGAAAAGAAAAAAAGAUUUUCACUGCCAUGAGUUGGGGCUGUGGAAGGACCCACGGGGAAGCCUGGCCUGGGAAGACCUCGGAACCUUAAGGUAUGAGCCCCCUGUUAUCAGACAUCACUGCCUCCCACAAGGUAAUAGGCCAUGUGACAGCAGGGCCAUGCCAUCAAUGUUCCUGGUGCAUCCCCAGCUCCAGGAGAGUGCCAGCCACACAGGAGGUGCAUAUCAAACAUUUGAUCAAUAAACAAAUAUAGGUUUUAUAGAGAGGAGCUCAGAAGAUCUGGGGAGGGGGCAGACAAGAUACUUCAGUCUCCCUUUCAGCACUGGGAUUCUCAAAUCUUAACCCAAGUUUAAUGCUCCUUUGUUGUUAAUAGAAAUGCCGGGUCUUCUUUUACAGGCAAAACACCUAACACUGACUAAGCAUUUACCCUACAUGGAUCAUCUUGGGUGCAAGCCCUGUCUUCCUGGUAGGGAAAAAGGCGGGUGAGGGUCACACAGCAAGUGGGUGAGACAAUGCUGGGAACUGAAGCCCAUGCUCCUCCAAACAGUGCCCACUCCAACACUCAGAGUCCAGCAUAAGCCACUCAGAGUCAGGCAUAAGGUUUCCAAAGGACACCAGAAGCUCCUCACAAGCAGGAAAUCGGACUUAACAUUUGACAUCUCAAUCUGCCCCAUGGGGUCCAGAUGAGAUAUUAAAAUGUUUAUUACAACCUUUUUGAGUGUUAUGAGUGAAACCACACCUUUUGCUGUCUGCUUUCAAAGUGCAGUAAGUUCCGCUGGGACACAACAUAUGCAUUCCUAAGCUACCAUCUGGUGCAAAAUCACACAACAAAAA
RNAcentral lists this long non-coding RNA (2617 nucleotides) under Sus scrofa (pig). RNAcentral describes it as "lncRNA (ENSSSCG00005037814.1)". The record is from RNAcentral. Lineage: Eukaryota; Metazoa; Chordata; Mammalia; Artiodactyla; Suidae.